UGAAGAGGGAAACAACCCAGACCGCCAGCUAAGGUCCCAAAGUCAUGGUUAAGUGGGAAACGAUGUGGGAAGGCCCAGACAGCCAGGAUGUUGGCUUAGAAGCAGCCAUCAUUUAAAGAAAGCGUAAUAGCUCACUGGUCGAGUCGGCCUGCGCGGAAGAUGUAACGGGGCUAAACCAUGCACCGAAGCUGCGGCAGCGACGCUGAUGCGUUGUUGGGUAGGGGAGCGUUCUGUAAGCCUGCGAAGGUGGCCUGUGAGGGUUGCUGGAGGUAUCAGAAGUGCGAAUGCUGACAUAAGUAACGAUAAAGCGGGUGAAAAGCCCGCUCGCCGGAAGACCAAGGGUUCCUGUCCAACGUUAAUCGGGGCAGGGUGAGUCGACCCCUAAGGCGAGGCCGAAAGGCGUAGUCGAUGGGAAACGGGUUAAUAUUCCCGUACUUGGUGUUACUGCGAAGGGGGGACGGAGAAGGCUAUGUUGGCCGGGCGACGGUU
This 489-nucleotide ribosomal RNA is filed under the name Salmonella enterica subsp. enterica serovar Montevideo. Its description in RNAcentral is "partial 23S ribosomal RNA". It matches the Rfam family "Bacterial large subunit ribosomal RNA", at positions 1011 to 1503 of the family's 2925-position model. Lineage: Bacteria; Pseudomonadati; Pseudomonadota; Gammaproteobacteria; Enterobacterales; Enterobacteriaceae. The record is from RNAcentral.